RNAcentral lists this ribosomal RNA (433 nucleotides) under uncultured bacterium. Its description in RNAcentral is "partial 16S ribosomal RNA". It matches the Rfam family "Bacterial small subunit ribosomal RNA", at positions 29 to 507 of the family's 1533-position model. The record is from RNAcentral.
AACGAACGCUGGCGGCAUGCCUAACACAUGCAAGUCGAACGAGACCUUCGGGUCUAAUGGCGCACGGGUGCGUAACGCGUGGGAACCUGCCCUCAGGUUCGGAAUAACUCCCCGAAAGGGGUGCUAAUACCGGAUAAUGUCUUCGGACCAAAGAUUUAUCGCCUUUGGAUGGGCCCGCGUUGGAUUAGCUAGUUGGUAGGGUAAAAGCAUACCAAGGCGACGAUCCAUAGCUGGUCUGAGAGGAUGAUCAGCCACACUGGGACUGAGACACGGCCCAGACUCCUCCGGGAGGCAGCAGUGGGGAAUAUUGGACCAUGGGCGGAAGCCUGAUCCAGCACUGCCGCGUGAGUGAUGAAGGCCUUAGGGUUGUAAAGCUCUUUUACCCGGGAUGAUCAUGACAGUACCGGGAGAAUAAGCCCCGGCUAACUCCGUG